This 782-nucleotide ribosomal RNA is filed under the name uncultured archaeon. RNAcentral's name for it is "bacterial SSU rRNA". It matches the Rfam family "Archaeal small subunit ribosomal RNA", at positions 1 to 791 of the family's 1478-position model. The record is from RNAcentral.
UUCCGGUUGAUCCUGCCGGAGGUCACUGCUAUCGGGGUUCGAUUAAGCCAUGCGAGUUGAGAGGGUUAAGACCCUCGGCGGACUGCUCAGUAACACGUGGAUAACCUGCCCUAAGGUGGAGGAUAACCCCGGGAAACUGGGGAUAAUACUCCAUAGGUUAAAGGUACUGGAAUGUUCUUUAACCUAAAGUUCCGGCGCCUUAGGAUGGAUCUGCGGCCGAUUAGGUUGUUGUUGGGGUAGUGGCCCAACAAGCCUGUAAUCGGUACGGGUUGUGGGAGCAAGAGCCCGGAGAUGGAAUCUGAGACACGAUUCCAGGCCCUACGGGGCGCAGCAGGCGCGGAAACUUUACAAUGCAGGAAACUGUGAUAAGGGAACCCCGAGUGCCCGUAUACGCGGGCUGUCCGGAUGUUUAAAACGCAUCCGAAGAAAGGGCCGGGCAAGACCGGUGCCAGCCGCCGCGGUAAUACCGGCGGCUCGAGUGGUGGCCACUUUUAUUGGGCUUAAAGCGUUCGUAGCUUGAACAAUAAGUCUCUUGGGAAAUCUGCAGGCUUAACCUGCAGGCGUUUAAGAGAAACUGUAGUUCUAGGAACCGGAAGAGGUGAGAGGUACUCCGGGGGUAGGAGUGAAAUCCUGUAAUCCCCGGGGGACCACCGAUGGCGAAGGCAUCUCACCAGGACGGCUUCGACAGUGAGGAACGAAAGCUGGGGGAGCGAACCGGAUUAGAUACCCGGGUAGUCCCAGCCGUAAACGAUGUGCGUUAGGUGUGCCGGUGACCACGAGUC